CCUACGGGUGGCUGCAGUAGGGAAUAUUGGGCAAUGGACGCAAGUCUGACCCAGCCAUGCCGCGUGCAGGAUGACGGUCCUCUGGAUUGUAAACUGCUUUUUUAUGGGAAGAAACCUUCGGAUGCGUCCGAAGCUGACGGUACCAUAAGAAUAAGGAUCGGCUAACUUCGUGCCAGCAGCCGCGGUAAGACGAAGGAUUCAAGCGUUGUCCGGAUUUACUGGGUUUAAAGGGUGCGUAGGCGGAAAAUUAAGUCAGUGGUGAAAUCCCGCAGCUC
This 275-nucleotide ribosomal RNA is filed under the name uncultured bacterium. RNAcentral describes it as "partial 16S ribosomal RNA". It matches the Rfam family "Bacterial small subunit ribosomal RNA", at positions 338 to 610 of the family's 1533-position model. The record is from RNAcentral.